ACCUUCCGGGCUGGCGUGAUCGAUGUUGGCGGGCUAGAGCCCUGACAGGAAGACGGCAGAAGGAUUAAAGACUCCAGAGACUAGAGAGCAAAGAAGUUUGAAGCCUGUUGCUUUAUUUCCCUGGGCACCAUAUUCAGGGGCUCUAGCUUCUGCUCACCAACAGGAGAAGUCAGCGACAGUGUAUCCGACAUGCACCAGACCUGGAACCUGGGUGUGAGCUUGUUUCUGCUACUUCUUAGCUGUGUGGAUCUGGUUAAGUCACCCAAAAACUCCCUGAGCCUCAGUCUCCUCAUAAGUAAAUGGAAAUAAUACCAUACAAAGCAUAUUAAAAAUCCUGAUGGCGAUGAUGACGUA
Molecule: long non-coding RNA, 354 nt
Organism: Suricata suricatta (meerkat)
Lineage: Eukaryota; Metazoa; Chordata; Mammalia; Carnivora; Herpestidae
Exons: 2
Source: RefSeq, a predicted model, not a curated record